UACGUAGGUGGCAAGCGUUGUCCGGAAUUACUGGGUGUAAAGGGAGCGUAGGCGGGAAGGCAAGUUGAAUGUUAAAUCUACCGGCUCAACCGGUAGCCGCGUUCAAAACUGUUUUUCUUGAGUGAAGUAGAGGCAGGCGGAAUUCCUAGUGUAGCGGUGAAAUGCGUAGAUAUUAGGAGGAACACCAGUGGCGAAGGCGGCCUGCUGGGCUUUUACUGACGCUGAGGCUCGAAAGCGUGGGUAGCAAACAGG
RNAcentral lists this ribosomal RNA (252 nucleotides) under uncultured bacterium. Its description in RNAcentral is "partial 16S ribosomal RNA". It matches the Rfam family "Bacterial small subunit ribosomal RNA", at positions 524 to 776 of the family's 1533-position model. The record is from RNAcentral.